This is a non-coding RNA of Peromyscus maniculatus bairdii (prairie deer mouse), 5916 nucleotides long. Lineage: Eukaryota; Metazoa; Chordata; Mammalia; Rodentia; Cricetidae. The record is from RefSeq and is a predicted model, not a curated record.
UCGCCUGGCCCUCCGCGGCGGCUCGCCGCUUCCCAACCGCCCGCGUCCGUCCGCGGCCAGGCAGCGGUUGGGGAUGGCGAGCCGCGGGACCGGGGCGGUGACGAGCGCAGCGGCUCCGCCAUUGGGCAAGGAGGCCUGAGGGACGGGGCUGCCCGGCGGGGUGCAGCAGGGACACCGGAAGCGGCAGCCUCGGCAGGGCGAGGGCGAUGGAGGCCAACGUGCCGCCGAAGCGCAAAGAGCCAGCCAAGUCCCUCCGCAUCAAAGUCAUCUCCAUGGGCAACGCCGAAGUGGGGAAAAGCUGCAUUAUAAAGCGCUACUGUGAGAAGAGGUUUGUGUCCAAGUACCUGGCGACAAUCGGAAUUGACUAUGGAGUCACCAAGGUCCAAGUCAGAGACAGAGAAAUCAAAGUUAACAUCUUCGACAUGGCUGGACACCCCUUCUUCUAUGAGGUACGAAACGAAUUUUACAAGGACACGCAAGGUGUGAUACUGGUCUAUGACGUUGGACAGAAAGACUCGUUUGAUGCCCUGGAUUCGUGGCUGGCAGAAAUGAAGCAGGAGCUUGGGUCUCACGGGAACAUGGACAAUAUUGUCUUUGUUGUAUGUGCCAACAAGAUUGACUGCACCAAACACCGCUGUGUCGAUGAAAGUGAGGGGCGUCUGUGGGCUGAAAGCAAGGGCUUCCUGUACUUCGAGACGUCAGCACAAACUGGAGAGGGAAUCAGUGAGAUGUUCCAGACCUUUUACGUGUCCAUAGUGGACCUGUGUGAAAAUGGCGGGAAGCGCCCUACUGCCAAUAACAGUGCUAGUUUCACCAAAGAACAAGCAGACACCAUUCGCAGAAUCCGAAAUAGUAAGGACAGCUGGGACAUGCUGGGAGUCAGACCCGGGGCCUCCAGGGAGGAAGUCAAUAAGGCCUACCGGAAGCUGGCUGUGCUGCUUCACCCGGACAAAUGUGUAGCGCCCGGCAGUGAAGACGCCUUCAAAGCGGUUGUGAAUGCCCGGACAGCCCUCCUGAAAAACGUCAAGUAGACGGCAGAGGAAGCGACGGGCAGCCUCAAGUGCAGACUCCCCUGAGGAUGCCCAGGAGCCGAUCAUGAAGGGUGGAAGCCAUCCAUGUUGGUUCCAGUUCUGUCGUCAGGAGUUGGUUUGGGAAUGGGCAUCUGGCCCCGCCCCUGCAGAAAAGCUUACUCCGUCCUUUUUCUGUGCCAGUCACUGCUGAACUCCGAGGAAGGAUGGGAAAAAAUAAAAGGAAGUAGCGAGUGAUUUCACAGUUACAGAAGUUGCUCUCUGCAGAAUCAGGGAUACGCCGAACCAAUCCCUGAACGUGCCUCAUGUGAGUGUAAGCCCGCCCGUCAUCUGCUGUGGGAAGCCUGAGGACUCUGGAGAGGGAAUCCUAGGGCACGUUACCUCUGGACUCCUGUCUUGGUGGGUGGUACCCUUGCUUCCUCUCCUGAGUCUCUUCCCUGGCCAAACCGUCCUGUGUCCCUCGUGGGUCCUCUGAGAAGAUGUAGUGAGCAGGACAGGUCAUUUGCUCAAAAGAAUCUUUGACAGCUGCAGGAAGAAGAUUCUUGAGACAUUUAAGCUCAGCAUUCAAGACCUUCUGUGAUGUGGCUCUUUGCUCGGCAUUCUUCUGUGUGUGAGUGUGAGAGUGUGUGCAGGUGCAUGUAUGUGUGCAGGUGUGCAUGCACAUGUGUACAUGUGGAGGCCGGAGGGCAGUCUUGGGUGUUAUUCCUCAGAUACCAUCAUCCGCCUUGUUUUGAGAGAAGGACUCUCACUGGACUCCCAGGGAGCCCCAGAGAUCUGCCUGUCUCUGCCUCCCCUUUUCAGACUCCUACUCCCACUUUUUCCGUCCUACCAUUCUAUAUUCCCAGGCAGGCACUGCACUCCCAGACAUGUGUCUGGCCACCCCACAUGCUGGUGGCUGGGGAUAGAAUUGAUGUUCAGAGCGAGUGUUAGUUAUCAAAGCCCGUGCAUGUUUGCACCCCCCACCCCCUACCAGUUCCACUUCAGUCUGUGUAGAGCUGAUGGGUUAUGCCUACCUCUCCAGUUCACGGACACUCUUCCUCAAUGGUUUAGAGACAGCAGUAGAGACUGAAUUGUGACCAGAUCUCAGCAGUAACAUGCAGGCACACACACAUUCUCACACACACGUGCAUACAUACCACUGGGUCGGCAAUAUGUAAACCAGGCUGGUUUGAGCCCUCCAGGCCAGGCUUGGGUGUUGCUCGGCUGUGGCUCAGCUGUCUAGGUUUCCACCUUCCGACUGGGCUGCUUUCCCUGCUCCAGGGUGGGAAGGAUGAGUGGAUUUAUGCAGACAGGGCAGCUAAGGUAAGGGCCCUGCCACCUAGCCGUUACUCCCAAGUCCUCUGCUUGGAUUUUCCCAUGACCCCCAGGUUCAGAACCAUCUUGGUCCCUGCCCAAGCAUAUGGGAUGGUAUGGGUCCCUCAUUCUUCCAGCAAUGGUUGAUGAUGCUGAGCAGGUCAACGGUCUGAGUGCCAGACCUUGGAAUAGAUGCAUGGGUGAAACUCUGGUGUUGUCCUUUACUGGCUGCAAGACUUUGGAUGAAUGAAAAAUCCAGCCUCAGUUUUUCCAUCUGGAAAGUGGCCGUGGUCAGGGCACUUACCACCUAGAAUUGCUGUGGAGAUUAUGUGAGGUAAGAAGACCGGGAACUAACCAAGGAACCGUCUGGAUACUGAAGCCUUUAGAGCGUAACCGUAGGCAGUAUGAAAACUCAGCAUUUUGGAGAGAGGGAAUCAGCCUGAACUAUGCUUCAGGGAAACAAUUCAUAGCAGCUAAAAGGAACUUUGGAGGAAUGUACCAGAUGGAAUGUGCAUGCACAUGAGCGCGCAAGCACACACACUUACAUAUAUAAAUUAAGAUUUAUUAGAUCAGAUCAUAUAAUACAUUCUAAGUAGUCCAACAAUGGUUGUCUCACCCCAGAGGGGCUGAGAACCUGCUGGCUGCCCAGUCCAUGAGGCUGGGCAUCUCACCCACCCUAAUCUGGUCCUGGAGACCUGCAGGAUUCCUGGAGAGCCACCAGUGUGCAGUUAACAUCAGAAGCUUGGAGAGGCUGGGUUCUGAGCCCAGCAAAGGAACACAGCAACAGAAUAGAUAGAUGGAUGGACGUGCCACCAAGGGUGAAGGUAAGGGGCUGGAGAGAUGGCGGCAAGGGACCGGGCUUUGGCCCCUACCACCCACAUGGUGGUUUACAACCAUUUGCAACUCCAGUUCCAGGGUAUCCAACACGGUCUGGUUUCCCUGGCCACCAGGCAUGCUCACAGGUGGUGCACAUGCAUACAUGUGGGCAAAGCACUCAUACACAUAAAAUGAAUCUUUCUUAAAAAAGAAAGAAAACUAAGGCUAGCAGGCAAAAAGCAAGGCUCACUUCUGUCUGUUUACCUGGGCUGCCACCCACAUUAGGGCGACUCUUCCCACUUUAUCUGAUGGAGCAAAUUCUUCCUCACAGGAGUGCCCCGCAGCUUGCCUUCUAGUCGCUUCUGGAUCCAGUCAAGUUGACAACCAAGGUUUGCCAUCACAGAGGCGUCUCACAGUCUCAGGAUCCAUUCAGCUGGUGGCUUUCUGCAGCCUCUUGCUCCCAAGCAACCUUUGUGGAAUAAAGUAUACAUCAUCUGGAUGCCGAUUAAGGACACUAGAGGGGGGGGUGGGGGAGAGCUCUCAGGUGCGUUCCUUCCGCUUUUCUCCUGUCCUGAUGCUUUAUGGGGCUUCUCUCUCAGGAGAUGCCUCUCUGUGCCCAGAUAGGAGUGUUGUGGGCUGAUCACCAGAGAAGACUGCUCGGAUGCGGGUCUAAGCCAACAGAAGGUCUUUAUUCGCCAGCCAGCAACCACGCUGGGUGCUCAGGAUCCCAGUGUAGCCCCGAGCCUUCCCCAGGGGUGUCUCAUUGAACAUGGAGCUCCUUGAUUGGCUAGACUGUCUGGCCAACAAGCCCCGGGAUCCACCUGUCUUCACCUUCCUCUCAGUGUUGGAGUCGUGGACACACGUUACCAUGAGUGGCUUUCAUGCGGUGGCUGGAGAUCCAAGCUCGGGUUCCCAUGUUUGCAUACAGCUAUCUUCCCAACCCUUAAUUAAAAGAAUACUUUUGUGUAUAUGGAUGUGUUCAUAUGAGUGUGUGGUGUGUGUGUGUGUGUGUGUGUGUGUGUGUGUGUGUGUGUGUGUGUGUACAUCUCAGGACAACCUUGGUAUUGAUUCUCAGGCUCUUUCCAUCUUGCUAUGAGAACUUUGCUGAGCAGGCUUGACUAGCUCGCCAUUGAGCUCCAGGGAUGCACCAUCUCGCCCUCUCUGGGAUUGCAAGUUCUCACCACCAUGCCUGGCUUUUUAUUUGGGUUCUGGAACUCUGAACUCAGGUCCCCAAUGCCCCUGAGGCAGGUUUUUACCAGCCUCGCCUCUUAAAGAUUAAAAAAAAAAACAAAACAAUUAUUUAACAAAGCAUUGUUGGGUGUUUAUCAUGGUUGUCACUCCAUGUAUAAAAGAAAAUCAAAAUCUUGUUCCUGGGCUUAGCGUCUUGGAGUGGGGUGAAAACCAUUACAAUUAUAAUAGACUCCAGCAUGUGUGAAUACAGGUGUGAAAAAUGUGCAAGGACCCUGCCUGGAUCUCCGUGGCUGUCAUAACAAGUUAAUGCAAACAGGUUGGCAUUCGAAUGUUUCUUGCCUUCACAUCUCUGGCGGCUAGCAGUCUGAAAUCUGAGUACCAGCAGAACUGUUACUAUCUAAGGCUCUCAAGUGAGUUUGUUUUCUCUGCCAGUUAAAGAAUUAAAAGGCAGGAAAAAUCUUGACGGUAACAGGUAGCGGCAGAGAAAUCUCAGACACCACCAACAGGCACGGACAGAAGCAGCGAUUGAAGGAAGACUUUUAUGGGGGUGAGGAAAUACAUACACGCAGCAGAUCCACAGGGAAGAGACCCCUGUAAAGCAGAGGGGGACCUGGGAAGCCGGAAAAACCAGUGUCUUCUCGAGGGCUGGGGUUUCUAAGGCCUCUGAAGAGUUUUCCUCUCCUAAUUCAGGGUUGGUGAGUUUGAAGAUGGAUGGGUGGUUGAUGGGUAACAUGUCCUGAUGCCAUGGCCUCAAACUUGCUGAGCCAGUCCAUCUGCAGCGGGUCUACUGAUGGGAGAGGAAGCCUGCAAGGCCUUUGUGUUAAGGUCUUUUAUCUUGGGUCAGGAGAGCAGGAAGAAGCUGGCCAUCCGGGAAGUUCACCCCCUUCAUCACCUACCCACGGCCCCUCCCUCUCCCUGUCUGCCUGCCUCCCAGGGAGUCGUCUAAUUCUUAGCCACUCCAAACCUCGUUUCCCGUGGGAGGGCUUGAGGGGAAACAGCCUUCUUGCCCCCCACUCCCGAGUCUGGUGGCUCCUCGAGUCCCUGGCUUAGGGCUCCAUCCCUCCAGUCUUGUCCUCUGUCACACAACCUCCUCCCUUGUAAGGACUUUGGGGCCUUCCCCAGUCAUCCAGGGUGAUCUGAUUUCCACAUCCUUUACUCAAUUACACCUGCAAAGACCCUUUCCUCAAAGUAGUUCAACCCUAAUAGGUUCCUGGGGUUUGGAUGUGGAAAUAUUUGGGGGCGGGUACCAUUCAAACCACUACAUACAUACACCUGUGUUCACACUGCACCUCCACACACAAACAUGUACAUGCAUUCACAUACAAGAUUAAAAAUAUAAAAACGUAAAGUGACUAAGGUACUUGAGGCCAGCGGCCAGGUGAAGGUGACGUGUGAGUGUUCCAUGUAACCCUUAGAACCCGGAUGGUGGAGAAGGCUCCGUCACAGAGCUUGCAAGCAUGGAGCCCUACAUUCAGCCCCUAGACACGGAAAAAAAGCCCGGCAGGGCGGCAUGCAUUUGUAAUCCCUGGGGCUUCUGGCCAGUCAGCUCGCCCACCUGGUGAACCUCAGGCCGGUGAGAAAUCCUACC